UACAGAGGUGGCAAGCGUUGUUCGGAAUUACUGGGCGUAAAGGGCGCGUAGGCGGCCUUCUAAGUCAGACGUGAAAUCCCCCGGCUUAACCUGGGAACUGCGUCUGAUACUGGGAGGCUUGAGUAUGGGAGAGGGAUGUAGAAUUCCAGGUGUAGCGGUGAAAUGCGUAGAUAUCUGGAGGAAUACCGGUGGCGAAGGCGGCAUCCUGGACCAUUACUGACGCUGAGGCGCGAAAGCGUGGGUAGCAAACAGG
This 253-nucleotide ribosomal RNA is filed under the name uncultured bacterium. RNAcentral describes it as "partial 16S ribosomal RNA". It matches the Rfam family "Bacterial small subunit ribosomal RNA", at positions 524 to 776 of the family's 1533-position model. The record is from RNAcentral.